GCUGGAGUUGCUAGUAAUCGCGAAUCAGCAUGUCGCGGUGAAUACGUUCCCGGGCCUUGUACACACCGCCCGUCACACCAUGAGAGUUGGCAAUACCCAACGUACGUGAUCUAACCCGCAAGGGAGGAAGCGUCCUAAGGUAGGGUCAGCGAUUGGGGUGAAGUCGUAACAAGGUAGC
This 178-nucleotide ribosomal RNA is filed under the name uncultured bacterium. Its description in RNAcentral is "partial 16S ribosomal RNA". It matches the Rfam family "Bacterial small subunit ribosomal RNA", at positions 1325 to 1500 of the family's 1533-position model. The record is from RNAcentral.